RNAcentral lists this ribosomal RNA (760 nucleotides) under uncultured Bacilli bacterium. RNAcentral describes it as "bacterial SSU rRNA". It matches the Rfam family "Bacterial small subunit ribosomal RNA", at positions 31 to 771 of the family's 1533-position model. The record is from RNAcentral. Lineage: Bacteria; Bacillati; Bacillota; Bacilli.
GAACGCUGGCGGCGUGCCUAAUACAUGCAGUCGAGCGAAGUUUUUCUGGUGCUUGCACUAGAAAAACUUAGCGGCGAACGGGUGAGUAACACGUAAAGAACCUGCCUCAUAGACGGGGACAACUAUUGGAAACGAUAGCUAAUACCGGAUAACAGCAUAAAUCGCAUGAUAUAUGUUUAAAAGUUGGUUUCGGCUAACACUAUGAGAUGGCUUUGCGGUGCAUUAGCUAGUUGGUGGGGUAAAGGCCUACCAAGGCGACGAUGCAUAGCCGACCUGAGAGGGUGAUCGGCCACACUGGGACUGAGACACGGCCCAGACUCCUACGGGAGGCAGCAGUAGGGAAUCUUCCGCAAUGGGCGAAAGCCUGACGGAGCAACGCCGCGUGAGUGAAGAAGGAUUUCGGUUCGUAAAGCUCUGUUGUUAGGGAAGAAUGAUUGUAUAGUAACUAUAUACAGUAGAGACGGUACCUAACCAGAAAGCCACGGCUAACUACGUGCCAGCAGCCGCGGUAAUACGUAGGUGGCAAGCGUUGUCCGGAAUUAUUGGGCGUAAAGCGCGCGCAGGUGGUUUAAUAAGUCUGAUGUGAAAGCCCACGGCUCAACCGUGGAGGGUCAUUGGAAACUGUUAAACUUGAGUGCAGGAGAGAAAAGUGGAAUUCCUAGUGUAGCGGUGAAAUGCGUAGAGAUUAGGAGGAACACCAGUGGCGAAGGCGGCUUUUUGGCCUGUAACUGACACUGAGGCGCGAAAGCGUGGGGAGCAA